Long non-coding RNA from Clupea harengus (Atlantic herring), 4452 nucleotides. Lineage: Eukaryota; Metazoa; Chordata; Actinopteri; Clupeiformes; Clupeidae. The record is from Ensembl.
GUGCGUGGGUAGGUAGGAGUGGCUUGUAUAUGUAUUAUGUAUGCGCUAGAUGGUGGAUAGGACAUCUGUCCCGUCUACUAUGGUAAAACGCCACACGAGGACGGUAAAGCUGGUCUAACUAGCCUGAGCGCAGUGUACCUUAACAGUAGGCUAUUACCAAAGGGGCGCUGUGUCCCGCGGGCUCAGAACGCCUCCCAGUGGUCGCACAUGGGAACUGCACGAGGGCUACCGCAGUCAUUUAUCAAUUCAGUGGGGCAACACAACAGGCCGACAUAAAGUUAUUUAUUACAGUGCAAUAGCUUAUCCAGGAGUUGGCCUAAAGUCACAAAAAGUCUUAACAUCAGUGAUAUUUUGUUUGAUUUGCUGUAUCACAAUUGUGUAGGAUGUGUUGGGUCAAAGAAUCAACGGUUCAGCAAAACUUUUUAUUAUAUUUUUUUUUUAAUUUACAAUGUAUAAAUAUGAGUCUAAAGACUACAAAGUCCAUGAAAAUACAGAGUUAAAUCUUUGAGCUUCAUCGCCAUUCACAAGUCUUGAAGAAAAUGCAAGCAAGAUAAGGGCAUGGCACACAAGGUCUAUUAAAUUACAUUUUUGAAAAUCAAAAGUUCAAGUCAUCUGUUUUACUCUCAAAACAUCAAUGUAGCAAUUCACAAAACACUGAUUCUAACACUAUUCUGUCACAUCAUGCCGUCGGUCACCUUAAAUUCACCCAAUCACUGAAAUCUCAUUGCAUCUUCACACUUGAACAAAUGUCGAAGAGUAAAAAUAAUAAAACAAAUCUAUUCCUAUAUAACUGGCUCUACUCUAAGCAUCUAAGCAGUGUGGCCGAAUGGAUAACUAACCCAGUAAGUCCAACUUUAAAAUAAAAUCCAUCACUUUUGAUUAAAUCAUUGGAAGACUUCAAGUGUUAAAGAGUAGAUAAAACUGCGCUUAGUGAGACAUAGAGCUGUGUUAUGCUAAACAUCCCUCUCCAGAGGAUAACACACGCACACACACGCGCACGCGCGCGGUCUGCUCUGCAGUGGAGCCCGUUCAACCGUUUAGCAGAGUGACAGCGCGCGCAGACACAAUGCACAGCGGGCUCACGAGGCGCUAACAAAGCUGACAGAAACCAUUAGCGAUCUCAUUUACCAAAGACCGGUACAUCGAGACCAGUGCAAAAUUACAAAUCCACCUGCACUCACUAUUCAAUCACACGGGUAAAUCUGUUACCCUGCUGCCUUAGGAGGACAGAGCACAACUAAAGAAAGGCUGAGGAGGCGCCAACAGGCUGAGGACAACGUCAAUGUCUGGCGCAACACAACUGGGGAAUCUUAUGCAACAGAACUAGAGACAAUGCUGUUUAGUCUUCACGUGUUCUAAUCGUAUCACUUGACAUAACGAGCUGAAUGGUCAUAUUGCAACAAUGCAAGACCAACAUGGCUUCAGUUCACAGAUGGCGGUGAGGCUUGCUUUGCCAGUUAAACCACGUAUCUUAUCACAACAAAGACAUUUCAGAAUAGUAAAACCACAAAUCAACUUGAACGUGAAAUGGCUGCCACAUAAACAAACCAACCAACCAAAAAAGAGACAGAACACAUAAAUAAACAUGCUUUAAACACCUACAACACCACAGCACAGGGGCAGCGUGUCCAAGUGUCUGUUGAACACUGAUGAACAUGUCUAGCACACAUCUUGGCGCAGAACAGGCUGCCAAUCAGGAACAGUUGGUGAGUCCUCUGGUGGCGCCCAGCCCCAGCUCUUGGCAUUAUGGGAUGUUGGCUGUGGAAGUUAACAACCUCACUGACUGACUGCCUGCAUCACAGCCAGCUCUCCGUGCUGAUCGGGAUCCCGGGGCCACAGAGGGGCAUUUAAUCGGUCUUGCCCCAGCCUGCUCGAGGGGGGGGGGGGGGGGGCAGUCAGCCUUGAGGUUGGGGCUGGCAGACACACAGAGAUGUCUGCUCCUGAUGCCAGGGUCGGGGCUCGGGGGGUUAGGCACAGGGCUUGCCAGCCUGCAUUCAUAAAGAGCUUUCUCAGGGAUGAUCUUACAGAGCAGCAUAGCUCUCUCUCUGCCCGGGGGCUAACGCUCUUUCAACUCCAGCAGGAAUGUUUCAUGAUAAAACAUUUUAAACUGGGGUAUGAGUGCCAACACCAGUCAACGGUAUCUGCUAUGGCCCACUAUGGGGAGUGCCCAGUGAGAGAGUAAUGGUAUGGCCCACAUAUGGGGAGUGCCCAGUGAGACAGUAAUGGUAUGGCCCACUAUGGGGAGUGCCCAGUCAGACAGUAAUGGUAUGGCCCACUAUGGGGAUGCCCAGUCAGACAGUAAUGGUAUGGCCCACUAUGGGGAUACCCAGUCAGACAGUAAUGGUAUGGCCCACUAUGGGGAGUGCCCAGUCAGACAGUAAUGGUAUGGCCCACUCUGGGAGUGCCCAGUCAGAGAGUUAUAAGGGCACUUAUUUGGCGCAAAUGUCUGCCAGAUAACCUUUAUCCUUAUCAGCAGUGAAGACAAGCAACACCGUGGUCUUAAACUCAGACUCAACGAAUGUACUGACAGCGACUCAACAGAACUCAGAGCAAGGGACACUCAAACAGACUGAUACCACUGGGUCCAAUCAUACAUCAUGCAGUUGCAUUCUGGGAGCUCUGUGGGGACAGAUAUAAUUAAACUGGAGCGAAGCAUGGGCAGUGAAAACACACAAAUAAACAAACAACAAACAAUAAACAAAUCCCUUAUACUUGAUCCUUUCAGGACAGGAGUGACUGGUAACAUGAACCAUCAAAAAAACAAAUGAAAUGACUGCAACCAGUAUAGCUUCACAUUCAGAGGUUAAUGACAUCUUGGAGUGUGUAAACGACUGCAAUCCCAGCUCUCACGGCUGCCGUUUGUUUUCAUUUCACAUCUUAAUGAGGCAAUCUGUCAGAGAAAUAAUCGCUCGCUGAAACACGCAUCCCACCAGAUCAGACUGGCGCUAACGCAACUCCUGAUUGGCUCAUCGACCUGAGCUCUCCUUAUUGUCCAAUCAGGGCUAUUGACCUUGGAGAGCAUGAUUAAAGUAAUGUGUUUCCCAAUAGUACAGUGCAUCCUGUGUUUAUUGUUUAUCAUUUUCUAGCACUGUGAAAUGUAAACAAACAAUGAAAUAAAACAGGAACAUGCAGACAAUGCACAGCGACAACAGAGUAACUUAAAAAAUAAAAUAAAAGCCCCUUGUGAAUGAGAUCAUUGCUGUGGAAGACCACCUACUGCAGGGGUGAGGCUGACACACACACACACACACACACACACACACACACACACACACAGGGGCUGUUGGUUAAGAGUCUCGGUAUGAGGCUCUAGCUAUGACGGCAGAGUUGUACACUCUCUUGAAUAGGCUUGUUUCCAAAUGGCUCUUCAAACAACAACAACAACAACAACAAAAAAACAAUCAAACAAAACCAUCCUAGAAUCUAUCUACAAACACUUCCUGCAAUUAAAAAAAAAAACUAAUAUGGCACAUCUGAUUUCAUAUUAACUGCACAUUUUACAUUCUAUUCACAACUGAACUGAUUUGUACAGAAAUAGGCACGCAUACUACAUUUAAUUUCAAAUAAAAUCAUAUCGAAUCACAGUUCAGUACAUUGUAGAAAAAGAACUGACCAUUACAGAGACUCUAUGGUAGAAAUGGCAUAGCAGGUUGAAGUCAAUCAGGUCCCCCUUGAAAUGUACUGCAGUCUCUCUUUCUGUCUACCACAGAGUGUGUGUGUGUGUGUACUACCACGGAAGAGUGUGUUUGUGUGUGUGUGUAGUACUACCACGGACAAGUGUGUUUGUGUGUGUGUGUGUACUACCACGGACGAGUGUGUGUGUACUACCACAGACGAGUGUGUGAUGUGUGUUUGUACAACCACGGACGAGUGUGUGUGUGUGUGUGUUUGUACUACCACAGACGAGUGUGUGUGUGCGUUUGUACUAGCACGGACGAGUGUGUUUGUGUGUGUGUGUGUGUGUGUGUACUACCACGGACGAGGGUGUGUGUACUACCACGGACGAGUGUGUGUGUGAUGUGUGUUUGUACAACCACGGACGAGUGUGUGUGUGUUUGUACUACCACAGACGAGUGUGUGUGUGCGUUUGUACUAGCACGGACGAGUUGGUGUUCUAAAAGUCAUGCAAUGAUGAUCAAUAUCGUUACAUUAAUGGGAGCUGAUUAUACUGUAUGUUUACCGAUGAUGUAAUCAAACUUUACAUUAAUGGGAGCUGAUUACAUGUUCAGAUUGAGCAGAUGUAAUAAUUGCAUCAUUGGGGAAGUAUUAUUUAGCAUGUAUUUUUUUCUUCAAGUGGCUGAUGUAAUAUGGUUGUCUAGUGAUGAAAGACUAUUUUCUUUUCCAUUCUGUAUUCUGCAUGUUGUGCGUCAAUGAGUCCUGCCCUGCCAUCGCCCCCCCCCCCCCUCCAUCGCCAAGGGAACCAGGGUCAUGAGUCCUGCCCUGCCAUCGCCA